This 253-nucleotide ribosomal RNA is filed under the name uncultured bacterium. RNAcentral describes it as "partial 16S ribosomal RNA". It matches the Rfam family "Bacterial small subunit ribosomal RNA", at positions 524 to 776 of the family's 1533-position model. The record is from RNAcentral.
UACGUAGGGGGCAAGCGUUAUCCGGAUUUACUGGGUGUAAAGGGAGCGUAGACGGCUUUGCAAGCCAGAUGUGAAAGCCCGGGGCUCAACCUCGGGACUGCUUUGGAAACUGUUAAGCUGGAGUACUGGAGAGGCAAGCGGAAUUCCUAGUGUAGCGGUGAAAUGCGUAGAUAUUAGGAGGAACACCAGUGGCGAAGGCGGCUUGCUGGACAGAGACUGACGUUGAGGCUCGAAAGCGUGGGGAGCAAACAGG